Molecule: ribosomal RNA, 499 nt
Filed under: uncultured bacterium
Lineage: Bacteria
Description: partial 16S ribosomal RNA
Rfam family: Bacterial small subunit ribosomal RNA
Source: RNAcentral
AUUGAACGCUGGCGGCAUGCCUUACACAUGCAAGUCGAACGCGAAAGCGGAGCAAUCCGCAAGUAGAGUGGCGAACGGGUGAGUAAUACAUCGGAACAUUUCCAGUAGCGGGGGAUAACCUGUCGAAAGAUAGGCUAAUACCGCAUACGCCCUACGGAGGAAAGCGGAGGACAGCAAGGCUUCGCACUAUUGGAGUGGCCGAUGUCGGAUUAGCUAGUUGGCGGGGUAAAAGCCCACCAAGGCUACGAGCCGUAGCUGGUCUGAGAGGACGAUCAGCCACACUGGAACUGAGACACGGUCCAGACUCCUACGGGAGGCAGCAGUGGGGAAUUUUGGACAAUGGGCGCAAGCCUGAUCCAGCCAUGCCGCGUGAGUGAAGAAGGCCUUCGGGUUGUAAAGCUCUUUCGGUGGGGACGAAACGGUUCGUGCUAAUACCAUGAACUAAUGACGGUACCCGAAGAAGAAGCACCGGCUAACUACGUGCCAGCAGCCGCAGUAA